GUUGUUUAUGUCACUGUUCCUAACAGAGAAGCAGGGAAGAAGUUGGCUAACAGUAUAGUCCAAGAAAAGCUUGCAGCCUGUGCCUGGCGUUGAAUCGGUAUACGAGUGGGAGGGAAAGGUUCAGAGUGAUUCCGAGGAGCUCCUGAUAAUC
Non-coding RNA from Camelina sativa (false flax), 151 nucleotides. The record is from RefSeq and is a predicted model, not a curated record. Lineage: Eukaryota; Viridiplantae; Streptophyta; Magnoliopsida; Brassicales; Brassicaceae.